Long non-coding RNA from Lepidothrix coronata (blue-crowned manakin), 296 nucleotides. RefSeq lists it as uncharacterized. Lineage: Eukaryota; Metazoa; Chordata; Aves; Passeriformes; Pipridae. The transcript is spliced from 3 exons. The record is from RefSeq and is a predicted model, not a curated record.
AGGGGUCACAAGAGAGGGGCAGAAAAAGCCUUUCCCUGCAAGUAGAGCUGUUCUCAGUAAGGCACACUGAUGGGAUCAACAGCAGACAUGAGAGGUUGGACACCAGCAUGGGGAACAGGAUCUGUCUGCCAUCAGGUACACUCAUCACACGCUAUACACCUGGUUUGUAUCAGAGCUGCCCCAAGAAAAUGGCACAUAAAUCACAGAUGCUGGAUGACUAGAAGUUGUUACAGCUCCAUAUCUCAAACACCUCAAUACUGAAUUCUUUUCUCACUGUAUAUACAUUAUUUACACCC